CACGCCUAUUGCCCUCUACACUCUCCAGUCUCAUGCGGCCCUGCCUCCUAACUCGCUCUCUCACGCCUCGCAGCCGUCUCUCUCCGGCUGCCUCUCUCUCUCUUUCUCUCUCGCUUUCUCGUUGCAAGCGGCAAGCCGUCGUGUCUCUCUCUCGUCUCCCGUCGUGUCCGGUGGCUUAACUUCACCGUCGUCUCCCUCGCUUUCUCGUUGCAAGCGGAAAGCCGUCGUAUCUCUCUCUCGUCUUUUCAGGUUGUUGUUCCCCAACAAUGGACUUGUCAUCGGAAUGGAAGGCCCUCUUCCCAAUCUCCACAGUGCACGCCCCUCCACUCCUCCUCUCCGGGCCUUCCUCCAAGCCCAUCCUCAGCCCUCUCCUCUUCAACCCUAACCCUCCUCUUCUCCUCCCCUUCUCUCUUCUCCCACUCUCUCCCCCCUCCUCUCCACCUCACUCUGCCCAGAUUCCUCCACGCCUCGUCCUCUCUCCCCCCCUCUACUUCCUCCUCCGUCGCGUCCCUCGUUGGCCCCCUCCAUCCACAACCGCCUCUCCUUUCUUCAACUUCCCUAUUCCAACUCUCUCCUCAUCUUCUUUCCAACCGGUGCCAACUCCGAGCAAGUCGGGUUCUUGAAGCUGUCCUUGAACAAUUCAGGGUCGGGUUUCGACAUUCAGGCCAAUAAAAACGGUGAUGUUUUCAGGGAAAGGACCGGGUUUGAGUAUCAGAUUAUCAAGAUCUCGGUCAACCUGGCGGUUGGUUCCGAUGCGAUUCUGGCAGACCGAGAAAGCAAAACUUCCAAGAAUAGAGCUUAGGGGCCUUCUCAGCUAAGAGGAAGAUCAGAGUGAAGCUGGAAAGAGGAUAAAAGUGUUCCGACUUCAUCUGUGUUGACUUGUGUUGUCAUGCUCCCUCAUUUGCAGUCAGUCCCACAGUAUCUUUGAGUGGCUUUCACACAAACUUUCUCGAGCUGUUUGCAUAAACAUAAUGAAGCAUGUAACUAGAUUUCAGUUGUGUACUGUCUAACAGCUUUUGUAAGUAGAUUUUGUUGUAGUAAGCCACCAAAAAAUAUAUGAAUUGU
Corylus avellana is the source of this 1065-nucleotide non-coding RNA. The record is from RefSeq and is a predicted model, not a curated record. Lineage: Eukaryota; Viridiplantae; Streptophyta; Magnoliopsida; Fagales; Betulaceae.